This 433-nucleotide ribosomal RNA is filed under the name uncultured bacterium. RNAcentral describes it as "partial 16S ribosomal RNA". It matches the Rfam family "Bacterial small subunit ribosomal RNA", at positions 29 to 507 of the family's 1533-position model. The record is from RNAcentral.
AACGAACGCUGGCGGCAUGCCUAACACAUGCAAGUCGAACGAGACCUUCGGGUCUAGUGGCGCACGGGUGCGUAACGCGUGGGAACCUGCCCUUCGGCUCGGAAUAACUCCCCGAAAGGGGUGCUAAUACCGGAUAAUGUCUUCGGACCAAAGAUUUAUCGCCUUUGGAUGGGCCCGCGUUGGAUUAGCUAGUUGGUAGGGUAAAAGCCUACCAAGGCGACGAUCCAUAGCUGGUCGGAGAGGAUGAGCAGCCACACUGGGACUGAGACACGGCCCAGACUCCGACGGGAGGCAGCAGUGGGGAAUAGUGGACGAUGGGCGAAAGCCUGAUCCAGCAAUGCCGCGUGAGUGAUGAAGGCUUUAGGGGUGUAAAGCUCUUUUACCCGGGAUGAUAAUGACAGUACCGGGAGAAUAAGCUCCGGCUAACUCCGUG